GUCUCAAAGAUUAAGCCAUGCAUGUGCAAGUAUGAACGCUUGAACCGUGAGACUGCGAAUGGCUCAUUAAAUCAGUUAUAGUUUAUUUGAUGGUGUCCGUUCUACGUGGAUAACUGUGGUAAUUCUAGAGCUAAUACAUGCAAAAGGUCCCGACUCGUUUCGUUUGGGAGGGGACGUAUUUAUUAGAUCCAAAACCAAUGCGGGUGAGUUCGACCUCGGUCGUCCUUCCCGGUCUGUUGGUGAUUCAUAGUAAUUGCUCGAAUCGUUGUGCCCUUGAGCCGGCGAUGGUUCAUUCCAGUUUCUGCCCUAUCAACUUUCGAUGGUACGGUAUUGGCCUACCAUGGUCGCAACGGGUGACGGAGAAUUAGGGUUCGAUUCCGGAGAGGGAGCCUGAAAAACGGCUACCACAUCCAAGGAAGGCAGCAGGCGCGCAAAUUACCCAAUCCCGACUCGGGGAGGUAGUGACAAUAAAUAACAAUGCCGGUCCCUAUAGUGGUCCGGCAAUUGGAAUGAGUACAAUCCAAACCCCUUAACGAGGAACAAUUGGAGGGCAAGUCUGGUGCCAGCAGCCGCGGUAAUUCCAGCUCCAAUAGCGUAUAUUAAAGUUGUUGCAGUUAAAAAGCUCGUAGUUGGAUUUCGGGGCCCCAGACGUUGUCGACCGUCCCUGUCCUCAGGGAGGCGGUUGUCGUUGUCGGUCUCUGAGUCGGAUCGGUCCGUCGAGAGGCGAGCACUGACCGACGGCCCCCGUUUGUCUCUCGAGAUUCCUGCCUGCUCUUAAUUGCGGUGGACGGGGAGUUCGGGAUGUUUACUUUGAACAAAUUAGAGUGUUCCAAGCAGGCCGGUUGCUUUGAAUACAUUAGCAUGGAAUAAUGGAAUAGGGCUGCGUCUGAUGUCGUUGGCGGCGGGAAGGCCUCCCCAGGCGUUAUCGUCGUUUGCGAUCACCGUCCUAUUUUGUUGGUUUUUGGGACCGCAGUCAUGGUCGAGAGGGACAGUUGGGGGCAUUCGUAUUCAGUUGUCAGAGGUGAAAUUCUCGGAUUUAUGGAAGACGAACGAGUGCGAAAGCAUUUGCCAAGGAUGUUUUCAUUAAUCAAGAACGAAAGUUGGGGGUUCGAAGACGAUCAGAUACCGUCGUAGUCUCAACCAUAAACCAUGCCAGCUAGGGAUCGGCGGACGUCGGUAGCGACUCCGUCGGCACCUGUCGAGAAAUCCAAGCCUUUGGGUUCCGGGGGGAGUAUGGUCGCAAGGCUGAAACUUAAAGGAAUUGACGGAAGGGCACCACCAGGAGUGGAGCCUGCGGCUUAAUUUGACUCAACACGGGGAACCUCACCAGGUCAGGACAUGGGAAGGAUUGACAGAUCGAGAGCUCUUUCUUGAUUCUAUGGGUGGUGGUGCAUGGCCGUUCUUAG
RNAcentral lists this ribosomal RNA (1406 nucleotides) under Cribrochalina vasculum. Its description in RNAcentral is "SSU rRNA". It matches the Rfam family "Eukaryotic small subunit ribosomal RNA", at positions 34 to 1297 of the family's 1831-position model. The record is from RNAcentral. Lineage: Eukaryota; Metazoa; Porifera; Demospongiae; Haplosclerida; Niphatidae.